UUAUAACCUUGUUUAUACAAUAAAGAUGUAGAAAUAAUGUUUCUAAUGAUCUUUGACAUGUAAUAACAGUCUUUUAAUUCUAAAAUUUUAUCCGAAGAUAAAUUAAGUACACAGAUUUUUACAGUCUCUGUGCUAAUGGACUCUCCACUUGCGCCAUAGAGCUCGAGGUCACUUCUUUUCAGACUUUUGAUAUUCUAUAGUCGCUGUAAUGAAUUACAAAUAUACGAUCCAUAGGUGGUAUCUAAUACCCAAGUAUCAGAGUCUGAGCCACUCAAUGAAAAAAUAGGUUUGUAUCAUAUGCACACCUUUUGGUGCUAUACUUGCAUCCUACUUCAAACUUGCAAGAUUAUUCUUGUAAUUAUACUCUCAAUAUCCAAACUUGCUAUAA
This 388-nucleotide long non-coding RNA is filed under the name Elaeis guineensis (African oil palm). RNAcentral describes it as "long non-coding RNA (EGUI_LNC036534)". The record is from RNAcentral. Lineage: Eukaryota; Viridiplantae; Streptophyta; Magnoliopsida; Arecales; Arecaceae.